Molecule: unclassified non-coding RNA, 392 nt
Filed under: soil metagenome
Description: partial contains 5.8S ribosomal RNA, internal transcribed spacer 2, and large subunit ribosomal RNA
Rfam family: 5.8S ribosomal RNA (bases 1-120)
Source: RNAcentral
GAUGAAGAACGUAGCAAAAUGCGAUAAGUAAUGUGAAUUGCAGAAUUCAGUGAAUCAUCGAAUCUUUGAACGCAUCUUGCGCUCCUUGGUAUUCCGAGGAGCAUGCCUGUUUGAGUGUCAUUUAACUUCUCAACCACAUUGGAUAUUUUUUUUCCGAUGCCGGCUUGGAUGUGGGGGUUGUUUGCAGGCUUUUUGUAACAAAAAAGGUCGGCUCCCCUGAAAUGUAUUAGUGGUAUCUGAGGCUAUUACUAUUAGGUGUGAUAAUUAUCUAUGCCUUUUGGGUAUGCCGCAUGAACAGAUUAUGCUGCUUCUAACGAAAACUAUUUUGAUGAAUUUGACCUCAAAUCAGGUAGGACUACCCGCUGAACUUAAGCAUAUCAAUAAGCGGAGGA